This 465-nucleotide ribosomal RNA is filed under the name uncultured bacterium. Its description in RNAcentral is "partial 16S ribosomal RNA". It matches the Rfam family "Bacterial small subunit ribosomal RNA", at positions 28 to 507 of the family's 1533-position model. The record is from RNAcentral.
GACGAACGCUGGCGGCGUGCUUAACACAUGCAAGUCGAACGGAAAGGCCCUGCUUGCAGGGUCCUCGAGUGGCGAACGGGUGAGUAACACGUGGGUGAUCUGCCCUGCACUUCGGGAUAAGCCUGGGUAACUGGUUCUAAUACCGGAUAGGAGCCAUAUUUAGUGUGGUUGUUGGCAAGUUUUUUCGGUGUAGGAUGAGCUCGCGGCCUAUCAGCUUGUUGGUGGGGUAAUGGCCUACCAAGGCGGCGACGGGUAGCCGGCCCGGGAGGGUGGACGGCCACAGUGGGACUGAGACGCGGCCCAGACUCCUACGGGAGGGAGCAGUGGGGAAGAGUGCAAAAUGGGCGCAAGCCUGAUGCAGCGACGCCGCGUGGGGGAGGACGGCCUUCGGGUUGGAAACGCCUUUCGCUAGGGACGAAGCUGUUUGUGACGGUACCUAGAGAAGAAGCACCGGCUAACUACGUG